This 347-nucleotide ribosomal RNA is filed under the name uncultured bacterium. RNAcentral describes it as "partial 16S ribosomal RNA". It matches the Rfam family "Bacterial small subunit ribosomal RNA", at positions 338 to 682 of the family's 1533-position model. The record is from RNAcentral.
CCUACGGGUGGCAGCAGUGAGGAAUAUUGGUCAAUGGGCGCGAGCCUGAACCAGCCAAGUAGCGUGAAGGAUGACGGCCCUACGGGUGGUAAACUUCUUUGAUAAAGGAAUAAAGUGAGGCACGUGUGCCUUUUUGUAUGUACAUUAUGAAUAAGGAUCGGCUAACUCCGUGCCAGCAGCCGCGGUAAUACGGAGGAUCCGAGCGUUAUCCGGAUGUAGGGGGCUUAAAGGGAGCGUAGAGGGGUUGUUAAGUCAGUUGUGAAAGGUGGCGGCUCAACCGUAAAAUUGCAUUUGAUACUGGCAGCCUUGAGUACAGUUGAGGUAGGCGGAAUUCGUGGUGUAGCGGU